Molecule: long non-coding RNA, 4612 nt
Filed under: Sus scrofa (pig)
Lineage: Eukaryota; Metazoa; Chordata; Mammalia; Artiodactyla; Suidae
Description: lncRNA (ENSSSCG00060068989.1)
Source: RNAcentral
UUAAUAGAUGCAGACUAUUGCCUUUGGAAUGUAUAAGCAAUGAGAUCUUGCUCCAUAGAACCGGGAACUGUAUCUAGUCACUUAUGAUGGAGCAUGAUAAUGUGAGAAAAAGGAAUGUAUACAUGUAUGUGUGACUAGGUCAACUUGCUGUAAAGUAGAAAAUUGACAGAACGCUGUAAUCCAGCUACAAUGGAAAAAAAAACAAAAAUCAUUAAAUUAAAAAAAAAAAGAGGAGUUCCCGUCGUGGCGCAGUGGUUAACGAAUCCGACUAGGAACCAUGAGGUUGCGGGUUUGAUCCCUGCCCUUGCUCAGUGGGUUAAGGAUCCGGCGUUGCCAUGAGCUGUGGUGUAGGUUGCAGACGUGGCUCGGAUCCGGCGUUGCUGUGGCUCUGACGUAGGCUGGCAGCUACAGCUCCAAUUAGACCCCCUAGCCUGGGAACCUCCAUAUGCCGCGGGAGCGGCCCAAGAAAUGGCAAAAAAAGACAAAAAAAAAAUUUUUUUUUCUAUGAUAUUUAAACUAUUUGCCUCUAAACUGGGUAGCUUAAAACAACAGAAAUUUAUUCUAGAGUUCUGGAGAUUAGAAGUCCAAAAUGAGCUUCCUGGAAUAAAGGGGUCAGCAGGACUGUGCUCCUUCCAGUGGUUCUAGGUGAGAAUCUCUCCCAGCUUCUGGUAACUCCUGGAAUUCUUUGGCUUGUGGCUUCAUUUCUCCAGCCUUUAAAGCCAGCAUCUUCAAAUCUUUAAAGCCCGUCUCUAUUCUCCCUUCACAUAGCCUCCUCUCAAUGUAUAAAAUCUCCCCCUCCUUUCCUCUUAUAAGGAUAUGUGUGACUGCAUUUAGGGCCUAACUGGGGGCGUCUGGCUAAUCUUUUUAUGCAAGAGCCUCAACUUAAUCACAUUACAAAGACUCUUUUUUCAAAUAAGGUAAGAGUCACAGGUUUUGGAGAUUAGGAUAGGGAUAUAUUUGGGGGGGGUCAUUGUUUAGGCUACCACAAACAUUAAAAAAAUUUUAGUACAUUUAUAUAUGAUGCAUAUGUACAUACAUAAAUUCAUAAAUAAAAAAAAUCUACUUUUUUUUUUUUUACCGUGGUCAUUACUGCAAUGUUACAGCUGACUUUGAACUCCUCAUCAUAUAUCUCUAUAGCAGUUCUUGAAUAAUAAAUACAUAAUACUCAUGUAAGAUGUUAAUAUGUGAGAAAAAAAAGUCAGGGAGAAAGAUUUCGUACUUUGGCUGAUGUACAUUUGAGACCCACUAGUUCCAAGUCUUUCAUUUCAAAUAUAAACACCAGGCACCUCUCCAAUUAAAUGACACCAACAUUUAUGUUGUUUCCUGGAAGACAUAUGUGUGCUGCAAAUAUGCGGCUACCCGGAGCCAAAAGCUCAGGGGCUGGAGAGAGGUUUUGCCGGGUUCCACAGCAACGAGGAAUGGUGUUAAACCCAACCUCAAGAACCAUUUUUUCUCAAUCAUGUGGCAUAUCUAUUCUUCCCUUCUGGCUUUUUUAUUUUACUCAGAUUCCUGGAUAUGACUAUACGCUAGAUUAGGACACAACAGUUAAAUGGGAUAUUAAAGACCAUUGGGUCCAAUCCCAGUCUGAUACAGCUUAGGGCAUCCGAAAGGACCGAACAGGUGAUGAUGAUUCCCAAGGCAGCUGAGGCAAGACUUGACCCCGGAGCUCCUGACCCCUGAUAUCUAGAGCAUUCUACACUAUUCUUUAAUCCACAAAUCUCUGCCCCUCAAUACUCUAUACUUUGGGAAAUCCCGGCAGCAGCAAUGUUCGAGAAGCAGGAAAAAUAGGGUGAUUGAAACACAGAGGAAAGUAAAAAAUGAGUUGGAGAGCUGGUGGUAGCAAAGCCUCAUUCUGAGUGAGGCAUCAAGUGUUGUCAAAGGAAAACUCUGAGCCAGAGAGACAGACAGAGUCGUGGGUUAAAGGUCAGUGAUAGGAGGAGCACUGGCCUGGCCCCCCUCUCUGUGUGUGUGGUGGGGUGGGGGCAGGAAGAGGGCAGUGUUGCCCUCAGGGGCACCUGGGGGCUGAAUCUUGGAGCAGAAUGUGGGAGCUUAUGCCAGUGAGGCCAAGGGCAGGCUCAAUGUCCCAGUCACUGGAAGGUACCUUCCCCUGCUUGAAGACUUCCAAAGAGUCCCCAUUUCAAUGAAUCAAAAUUAAUUAAUCUGACACUUUGCCACAAUACAAAUAUGGCUCCUUCCUCUCUAACCUCAGCUCUUAGUACUACCCAGCCCACCCCAUGUAUCCCCCCACCCUGUUCUAGACACCCUGGCCUUCUUUCCAUCCCUCAAGAAAACCAAGGUCAUUCCUUACCCAGGGGCUUUGAACUUGCUAUUCCUUCUGCCCGGAACAGUCUUUUCCCAGAUCCUUUUCAUUCUCAGGUCCUAUUUAUCUUUCAUUUCUCUUCUUUUUUUAAAAAAAAAUUUACUUAUUUAUUUAUUUUAUUAAAGUGUCAUUAUGCCAAUUUAUGUUAUAUAGCAUAGUGACCCAAUAUUUAUAUAUAUUCUUUUCCUCAUACUACUUUCUAUCAUGUUUUAUCCAAAGAGAUUGGAUACAGGACAGUGUGCUGGACAGUAGGACCUCAUCGCCCAUCCAUUCUAAAUGUAAUAGUUUACAUCUACCAACCCCAAACUCCCCAUCCAUCCACUCCCUUCCCCCAUCCCCUUGGCAACCACAAGUCCAUUCUCUAUAUCUAUGAGUCUGUUUCCAUUUUGUAUAUAGGUUCAUUUGUGCCAUGUUUUAGAUUCUACAUACAGGUGAUAUCAUAUGACAUUUGUCUUUCUAUUUCUGACUUCACACAGUAUGAUCAUCUCUAGUUGCAUCCAUGUUGCUGCAAAUGCCAUUAUUUUGUUCUUCUUUAUGGCUGAGUAGUAUUCCAUCAUAUAUAUGUACCACAUCUUCUUAGUCCAUUCAUCUGUCAAUAAGACAUUUAGGUUGUUUCCAUGUCUUGGCUAUUGUGAAUAGUGCUGCAAUGACCAUAGAGGUGCAUGUAUCUUUUUGAUCAUUCCUCUUCUUAACCAACACAGAAAGGCCCUCCCGGGGCAUUCAAUCAAAAUUGACCCCCUCCUUCUCCUGGUUAUAAUCCAAAACCCUGUUUAUUUUCUUCAUGGCACUUAUCACCAUCCAUUAUUAUGCAGUUAGGUUUUUUUUUCCCUAUUAAACCGUAAGCUCCAUGAGAACAGAAACUUUAUUCUCCUCAUUGUCCCAAAUCCUAGAGCAUUGCCUGACAUAGAGUGGGUGCUGAGUAAAUAUUUGUUGAAUACAUCAAUUACUAAGUCUCCCAGAUUCAUUUCCAGGGCAGGCAACAUAUGACACUUGGGCUGAUAUCCGCAGCCACUGAAUGGAUGAAUCAAUGUAGCUGUUGGAGUGUCUCUAAAAAGUCGAUCACAGUCACAGGAAAUUGUGUGUGUGUGUCCCAGCUACCCAGUUCCCAGCCCCACUGGACCUUUGGGAUUUCUGCACUGUCCUAUAGAGGUCACUUGCUCACAGGGAUCUCUCUGAUUCCUCCCUCAGGACAAGGGGCCUCUCCUUUGGACAGUGUUACAGAGGGUUGGUGUAUAUUGGCUCUUACAGAAGCUGAAGGGCCCCCUCUGGCUCUGCUCCUUCAAAGGGUUGCCCAGAUUGCAAGUUCUAAUGGACUAUCCUGGUUGGGAAUUAAGAAAUGCAGUUUUGUUUGUUUGUUUAUUUGUUUUAAAUCUGUUCUCCCUGCCCAAGAAUCCUCCUCCUGCCUUGGAACCUUGUUCCUCUGUGUGUUUAAUGGUUAAAUGAGUGCCCUCUCACCCCCUGCCCGGAGGUAGGUGCUAGCCGUGGCUGAAUACCUAUAGAUCUCAGACAUACGUGAGGUGCUUAAACAACAUGAAAUUACUUGAUCCUUACAGCAUUUGGAAAAGGUGGACAUCACCAUUUUAUAGAUGAGAAAACUGAGAUGGGGUUGCCCAAGCUAUCAAGCUAGGAUAUUUUAAAGUCAAGGCAUAAACGUACAUCUUCCUGAUCCCGAAACCAGAACGCUGUCCGUGGUGCCAUGUUGGAAUGAAAUGAGAGGAAAGAACUGCCACCUUCCAGAAUAAGCCCUGUUAUUCACCAGGCCAACAGGAACACCCUGCCCAGAUGGCCCCGCAGAGCUCAACCCUCCCGCCGCCGCCUGCAGAUCUCCAGCUGUCACUUAGACAAAUUGGCUACUGGGUCAGGAGUAUUGGCAGUGAACGCCCCCAUCUCAUGACAAUCCUUAGACGAACACAGAUUGAUGUGGAGAGGCGGGCUGGACUGUUCCUAGUGAGAGAACACUGAUGGGGGAUGGCUGAUUGCCAUCUUAAUCCAAAGGCUUUCUAGCCAGUUAAGUGACUUGCAAAUACUUCACUCUGACAAUCCUUCAUGAUCGAGUUGGUUCAAAUCUAUUAGCCAGAGUAGGGCUGCAAAGAAUAUAUCAGCAUAGAGUGAUGGCUGACCCUGACCAGGUGGGCCUCUCUACUGUGUCAAGGUGCUCAAACUCCACAUUGAACUCAUUUCUAACCACGAUAGACCCCAGAACCAACACCUUGCUGUUCAGCCUAUAGUUCUGGAGAUAGAUUCAGACCUAUUUCCUUUUUCUCCAGGGGAGUGAAUUGGGCUGAGCAGGAU